Molecule: non-coding RNA, 1969 nt
Organism: Oryctolagus cuniculus (rabbit)
Lineage: Eukaryota; Metazoa; Chordata; Mammalia; Lagomorpha; Leporidae
Source: RefSeq, a predicted model, not a curated record
AUUAAUUUCACUUUUUUUUUUUUAAAGAAACUUAAUUAACUUUAAAGAAGCACCCAAGAAUGAUACAUCUGUUGAGAGCACUUAGACAUAAUUAUAAUACAACUCUUUGAGGACAGAGGUCCUGUAUGGGAAGUUAGUGCAGUGAUUCCUGUUGUUGAUUUAAUAAUUAGCACUCUUAUUUAUGAUAUCAUAAAGGUUCUUGACAUGAGCUGCCUAGGCCAUGGAAGCCUUUUGAGUCCACAAACUCCAUCAGUAUUUAGACAGGGCCACAAGCAAAGUGCAAGUUCUCUCCUCUAUCUCUCUUUUUUUUAAAAUUUAUUUGACAGGUAGAGUUAUAGACAGUGAGAGAGAGAGAGACAGAGAAAAAGGUCGUCCCUCCAUUGUUUCACCCCCCAAAUGGCCGCUAUGGCCGGAACUACACCAAUCCGAAGCCAGGAGUCAGGUGCUUCCUUCCGGUCUCUUAUGUGGGUGCAGGGGCCCAAGCACCUGGGCCAUCCUCCACUGCCCUCCGGGGCCACAGCAGAGAGCUGGACUGGAAGAAUGGCAACUGGGACUAGAACUGGUGCCCAUAUGGGAUACCGGUGCCACAGGUGGAGGAUUAACCAAGUGAGCCAUGGCUCAGUUUACAGAGAAAAGUACCUCCUUCUUUGAUGGCCAUUUCUUUCCACUGGGGUCUCACUCACGGAGAUCCUUCAUGUGUUUUUUUUUUUUUUUUUUUCCCACAGAGUCUUGGCUUUCCAUGCCUGAAAUCAUGCAGUAUUUUGACAGGCCACCUGGAUGCCCACCUACCCUCCCAAGCCAGUGACGCGCCCCCCCCCCCCCCGCCCAGGUAACCACUUGCCAGGGGCCACUUGCAAAGAAGACUUUGCAGGUAGGGCAUGGAGACCACCCACAGGCAUCUCAAGAGCCAGUCUGCCAAGGGGAUGGCAGUUUGUCUCCUGGGGGAGAAGCCAGCUGUGCUUGGUCCCUUGGCUUGUGGCUGAGACCUUUCUCACCGCUGCCCAGAAGUGCGCAAGAAAGAUAAAGGGAACUAUCCAGACCAUAAUUUGGAGCACACCAGGAUCCCAGAACUCGGCCCAGCAGUAGCACCUGCUGGCCCUGAACCAGAUGCUUAAAAUCAACCCUGCACAGGUGUGCAUCUCCCCAAAUGGGUGACCACCCCAGUUCAUCAUAAGGAAAUCGAGACUCAGACCCUUACACAGACUCUGAGACCAACCAGUCAGCAGCCUGGCGGAGCUAUGUCUGAGUCAGGGUCUGCCCAGCCCCAAAACCUGGGCUCUCCCCUCCACCGUGAACAAGGCCAGAAAGAAAAAGAUCUUCAAAAUACAACAUGAUGGAAAUAACAAAGUGUAAAGAUAAGAAAAGUCCCCAAAGUACAGGCAACCAAAGCAAACCGCGGCAAACGGAUUCUAUCAAGCUCAGAAGCGAGCAAUGGAGUGAAGAGACAUCCAGCAGAAUGGGAGAAAGUAUUUGCAAACUACUUAUCUGACAGAGGGUAAUACCCAGAAUAUAUCAGCAACUCAAAAAAUUCAAAAACAACAACCAGUGCAAUUAAGAAGUGGGCCAAGGAUCUGAAUAGACUGUUCUCGAAAGAAGAAAUUCAAGGCCAGCACCGCGGCUCACUAGGCUAAUCCUCCGCCUGCGGCGCCAUCACACUGGGUUCUAGUCCCGGAUGGGGCGCCGGAUUCUGUCCCGGUUGCCCCUCUUCCAGUCCAGCUCUCUGCUGUGGCCUGGGAGUGCAGUGGAGGAUGGCCCAAGUGCUUGGGCCCUGCACCUGCAUGGGAGACCAGGAGAAGCACCUGGCUCCUGGCUUCAGAGCAGCGUGGUGCGCCGGCCGCAGUGGCCAUUGGGAGGUGAACCAACGGUAAAAGGAAGACCUUUCUCUCUCUCUCUCUCUCUCUCUCUCUCUCUCUCUCUCUCUCUCUCUCUUGCUGUCCAUUCUGCCUGUAAAAAAAAAAAGAAGAAGAAA